Molecule: ribosomal RNA, 900 nt
Filed under: uncultured bacterium
Lineage: Bacteria
Description: bacterial SSU rRNA
Rfam family: Bacterial small subunit ribosomal RNA
Source: RNAcentral
AGAGUUUGAUCCUGGCUCAGGACGAACGCUGGCGGCGUGCUUAACACAUGCAAGUCGAACGAGGUCCACUGAGUAGCUAUACAAGGGAAGACCUAGUGGCGAACGGGUGAGUAUCACGUGAGAAACCAACCCCGGUCUCUGGGAUAACAGUUGGAAACGACUGCUAAUACUGGAUGUCGUCGUACCCUCGCAUGGGGGGAUGACGAAAGGGUUACCGGAUCGGGACGGUCUCGCGGCCUAUCAGCUUGUUGGGGAGGUAACGGCUCACCAAGGCUUCGACGGGUAGCUGGUCUGAGAGGAUGAUCAGCCACACUGGGACUGAGACACGGCCCAGACUCCUACGGGAGGCAGCAGUGGGGAAUCUUGCGCAAUGGGCGAAAGCCUGACGCAGCAACGCCGCGUGCGGGAUGAAGGCCUUCGGGUUGUAAACCGCUUUUAACAGGAACGAAAAUGACGGUACCUGUAGAAUAAGGUGCGGCCAACUACGUGCCAGCAGCCGCGGUGACACGUAGGCACCAAGCGUUGUCCGGAUUUAUUGGGCGUAAAGAGCUCGUAGGCGGUUCAGUAAGUCGGGUGUGAAAACUCUGGGCUUAACCCAGAGACGCCACUCGAUACUACUGUGACUAGAGUUCGGUAGGGGAGCGGGGAAUUCCUAGUGUAGCGGUGAAAUGCGCAGAUAUUAGGAGGAACACCGGUGGCGAAGGCGCCGCUCUGGGCCGAUACUGACGCUGAGGAGCGAAAGCGUGGGUAGCAAACAGGAUUAGAUACCCUGGUAGUCCACGCCGUAAACGGUGGGCACUAGGUGUGGGCUCCAACCAACGGAGUCCGCGCCGUCGCUAACGCAUUAAGUGCCCCGCCUGGGGAGUACGGCCGCAAGGUUAAAACUCAAAGGAAUUGACG